This 467-nucleotide ribosomal RNA is filed under the name uncultured bacterium. RNAcentral describes it as "bacterial SSU rRNA". It matches the Rfam family "Bacterial small subunit ribosomal RNA", at positions 28 to 507 of the family's 1533-position model. The record is from RNAcentral.
GACGAACGCUGGCGGCGCGCCUAACACAUGCAAGUCGAACGAGCGAGAGAGAGCUUGCUUUCUCGAGCGAGUGGCGAACGGGUGAGUAACGCGUGAGGAACCUGCCUCAAAGAGGGGGACAACAGUUGGAAACGACUGCUAAUACCGCAUAAGCCCACGACCCGGCAUCGGGUAGAGGGAAAAGGAACAAUCCGCUUUGAGAUGGCCUCGCGUCCGAUUAGCUAGUUGGUGAGGUAACGGCCCACCAAGGCGACGAUCGGUAGCCGGACUGAGAGGUUGAACGGCCACAUUGGGACUGAGACACGGCCCAGACUCCUACGGGAGGCAGCAGUGGGGAAUAUUGCACAAUGGGGGAAACCCUGAUGCAGCGACGCCGCGUGGAGGAAGAAGGCUUUCGGGUUGUAAACUUCUUUGUCAGGGACGAGUAGAAGACGGUACCUGACGAAUAAGCCACGGCUAACUACGUG